AAAAAGAUAAGCUAAUUAAGCUUUUGGGUUCAUACCCCAAAAUAAACCUUUUCUUUUUA
Molecule: transfer RNA, 59 nt
Filed under: Haliplus lineatocollis
Lineage: Eukaryota; Metazoa; Arthropoda; Insecta; Coleoptera; Haliplidae
Description: tRNA-Met
Source: RNAcentral